UUCACAUGACUUCCACUGCGUGUGACUGACUGACCCGCAUUCCUCAAUUGGCAGCAGCUCUUCUGUCAUACUGACUCGUUUUAGGGGCGAAUAAACACUAACAGUGGAUGCAAACGCUCUCCAUCGCUGUCCUGGGUGUGAUAUGUAGAUAAUAAACUACAUCUUUAUGUUUUGUAAGUGCCAAACAGCUGAUCGUCUGCGGCGCGGCGGAGGAUUUGUAACAUCUCUGAGCUAAAAUCUUCAGUUCUACUUUUUUUUGUGCAUCUUCCAGACUGUCGGGUUGGAAAUACAUGGAUGCAAAGAUAACUGAUGACUGAGCGACAACUGGCUGUUUCUGAGCUUCGUGUCGGCGAUGGCUGAGCUUCUUAUUCCUCCAGACUCGAGAAGGUGUAGUUAUUUCUUCCUCUAUGAUGGAUCCAGAGUCAGAGGAGAGGGCGACCCUACAAGAGAGGGAAUCUGCUACUUCUACCCGGAAGAGACCCCUUUAGAUAAGCAGGAGCUGCUUUGCGGUCAGCUUGCCGGCGCUUGCCGCUGUGUCUCUGAACUCUCCUCCUCCCCUGUGCGCAUACUGAGGCUGCGCCGCAACACGUUCGCCAUCCGUAUGAAAGAUGACUUCUUUUGGGCUCUGGGCUGCUCAGUCGAAGUCCCCACCGUCAGCGUCUGUGAGCUCCUGGAUCAGCUCAUAAACCUCUUUUGUUUCUACAAUGGCUCUGUCCGACAGAGCUACCAGCUCAACAGUCGGGAAACUCUGGCUAAUCGUUGGGCGCUGUACCUCUCACACCUACAGUCAGGAUCCUCAGAUCUUCAUCACGUCUUCAGCUGCUUGAGAACCAUCGACUCGACUAAUGUUGACCCACUUCUCCUUCUCAAAGCUGCCCUCAUUCUUCAGGCCUGUCAGCGCUGCCCUCUAGUGUCAGCAGGCUGUAUUCUUUUCAGAGGACGAGUUGUGAGCACACAGAUGUCUCCAGACCUCACAAUGAAGGUGAUGGUUCAUGAGAGUGAAACAUACACCAAGGCCCAGAAACCCAACGGGCCGAGUACCUUCAGCUCAUUUGGCGGUGCCAUCAGCUCCACUACCGUGUUCCUGACAAUGUCUGAACUCCAGUACCUGCAAUCUGCCCCCGUCGACAAAGACUUCAGUUCCCACUCUACUCCGCACAAAACCAUCCCCCCGAAGAAGACCCGCCUGUCAAGAACGUUAUCUGACACUCCCUCCACUGAGUCGGAGCCAUCUGACCCAGGUUCCUCCCAGUCCUCCCAGAGGUUAUCCCUCAGCCCUCGCUUGUCAGACAGCUCCAUGCUUCCAUUGCAGAGCGCCGCUGAUUCCUCACCGCCGUCGCUCAAGCCUCCUUUCUCAAACGGGAAACACUCCCCCGAAGCUGAGGAAGAAGUGCUGGAAGAGUCGCAUUAUCACAGCUUUCACAGCAACGGAGGCGGAGUCAGUCCGAUGCAUAACGAAGGAGACGGCUCAUUGUUGGGAGAAAACUCCCAUCUAAAUGGAGGUGGAGGCGGAGGAGAUGGUGAUGGAGACGCAGGACACUGUGGUACAGCGUUUGACCUCAGAGGGGCUGAGGAAUCCCACGACGGUGAGGUUUCGGAAGAGGCUGACAGAAGUGGCGGCUGUGGGAGUGUCCAGGGCCACGAGGCGGAGAUACCAGAUCCUCCUACUUGCUCUGGUGCUUUUGACCGCCCAGAGGAGUGUCCGCUGAUUCCCAUGACGCUGUACGUGCACCGGGUCAAAGGCCUGGUGCUGGCUCUGCUGGUGGAGCCGCACUUCUCGAGCGACACAGCUUCUGUGGAGGAAGUGUAUCACAGCAGCCUGGCGUCACUCAACGGACUAGAGGCCCAUCUGAGGACUAUCUCUCCAGCGGCCCCGGGCGCUCCAGGACCCUACAUAUUUGCCCAUUUUGACUGCAUUCAGAGCACGAUGACAAUUUCCCAGUUUCCUUCUAGACCAACCUGUCUGGUCGACCAGGGGGAGCCCCGGAGCGUCCUUUUGUGAGAGCCACAUCGCUUCUUCACUCGCAUUUCUGUAACACUGGAACUCUGCAGGAGGCUAUUAUCAGGAGUGCCGGAGCUGCUGUGUAUGGAACCCGCAGCGUGGCCCAGGAGACUUACUUCCAGCAGCACGGGGGAUCGCUGAGGAACUCCGGCAUCCCCAACCACCAGGACAGUGCCUUCUCGCUGCCCGGCAAGGCCCGACACAGACUGAUGAAACACGGGGUCAACCUGCUCUGACGGGACGGCGGCGGCGUGACAUCUGCUCUCAGUACUCAAGAGGAGCUGUAUUUCGUUGAACUGCCCUGUGAGUAAUAUUAAAAUCAACAGAGAACAUAACUUAAAGAUUCCUCUGUGGUUCACUUGUUCCCACAGCAGAUUGUACGAUGCUAGCACACCUUAUAGCACUCACAUUCAUAGCAGAACUUUUUUUUUAAAUUGUAUAAUAAAUGACAGAGAAGAUGGUUGGUAAAGGUUUUGCUGAGUAAGUUUUGUUUAUAAUGAAGUUUUAAUUUCACCUAUUCCCGUGCUUGUUUGGGUCCAAUUUGUCUGAAUUUUAUUUCUGUUCGCUCAAACACAUUACCUUUUGUAUUGAGAAGCAACAUUUGUUGCCGUAUUAAGCUCUUGUUUACACACAUUUUGCACCCUUUUCACCUUUACAGAUAUUUUCCGUUCAGUCACGUCCUCAACGCAGCGAAUGUAGUAAUUCCUCUUACUUGUAUUUAUUCAUUUAAUAGGAAAUGUAGACUAAAGCAAGAUUAAAUCUACUUUGUGUAUUUGUACAGAAUCAUUCUUUUCCUUGCUGCACACAAAACUGUAUUACACAAAUUUAUAAAAUAAUCCAAAAAAUAGUUUUUUUUAUAAAAAAUGUCUAUUUAUUUGAAAUCAACUCUUUGGUAGCAUAAAAAUGUUAUUUAACUAUUCGGCUCUUAGAUCUAGUGUGUGUUUUUUUUUGUUUUUGAAUGUGUCAUUUGUUAAAAAAGAAAGAAAGAAAAGAAUGCCUGCAUUGUAAUGUUUGCUGAGUUGAGAUCCACUGUGAUACUGUAGUGCAUUAUUAGUGGGAAUUAAAUGAAUACAUGAUCCUCUCA
This is an RNA transcript of Sebastes umbrosus (honeycomb rockfish), 3086 nucleotides long. It is a transcript of the gene named HPS4 biogenesis of lysosomal organelles complex 3 subunit 2, with no coding region annotated. The record is from RefSeq and is a predicted model, not a curated record. The transcript is spliced from 13 exons. Lineage: Eukaryota; Metazoa; Chordata; Actinopteri; Perciformes; Sebastidae.